RNAcentral lists this small nucleolar RNA (130 nucleotides) under Capsella rubella. RNAcentral describes it as "Small nucleolar RNA SNORD14". It matches the Rfam family "Small nucleolar RNA SNORD14". Rfam says of the family: U14 small nucleolar RNA (U14 snoRNA) is required for early cleavages of eukaryotic precursor rRNAs. In yeasts, this molecule possess a stem-loop region (known as the Y-domain) which is essential for function. The record is from Rfam by way of RNAcentral. Lineage: Eukaryota; Viridiplantae; Streptophyta; Magnoliopsida; Brassicales; Brassicaceae.
GAUCGAUGAGGAUAAAAGCAAAAAGGCUUUGUUUCUCAAAACUAUUCGCAGUGGCCGCCUAAAGCUUUCGCCUUUCGCCGGGCUUGAGAGCUAAUGCUGCUUCUUUCUCCUUCCUUGGAUGUCUGAGAUC